Triticum aestivum (bread wheat) is the source of this 1559-nucleotide long non-coding RNA. RefSeq lists it as uncharacterized. The record is from RefSeq and is a predicted model, not a curated record. The transcript is spliced from 3 exons. Lineage: Eukaryota; Viridiplantae; Streptophyta; Magnoliopsida; Poales; Poaceae.
AAAAAAAGCCCCGCGUAUCUCUCUUCGUCUAUUUUCUCAGCGCCGCCUCCGUCACCGUAUCCUCAAGAUCACCAUGCCCGAAAUAAAAAAAAAAGAUCGAUGUUGUAGCUUCGUCGCUCAUCGCUAUUUCCAGGCAGCCGUCCAAAGUCUCCACCCCCUCCUCGCUGGCUCUGCCAUGGUUUCCUCAAGAUAUGCGUGGAUCCUUCCUCGCGUGUCUUCUCCCUCGGGUCACCCUUGCCGUGUAGCCGGCCAGGGCCUCCACCGCCUCCUCCAUGGUCUCCUCGCAUCAGGCAAAACGGGCGAAGGUCUCGACAACUUCCUCAGGGAUGUCAUCGUAUCGAAGAUCGCAAAUGUGUCGCCUCUGUUAUAGCGUAUGAUCAGGUCUUGACAUGUUACCGAUCAGCGGCUGGACGAGGAAAGAGAGCUUCUAUUGAUUGGUGGCUGUUGAUGCAAGGUUAUGGAAGCAACUUCCAUAGAAUUAAGUGCGCCAAUACUCAGGUUUCCUUCCGACAAAUAUGUCUACAGUUUCAUGUAACUGUUGCUACGUGUUAGUUAUUAUUUAUUUCAACAAUGUCUCAACACUGAUUCUUACUUUCCUUAUGUUAGUAUAGUAGUAUAGUACAGGAUUAACAAGAAUAUGUGCAGCAUUCAAGGAGUUGAUCUAUAUAUUGGUGACCUGUUUUGCGAGGAUAUAUUGGUGCCCUUUAAUACUAUGGCUUUUAAAAUGAAUAGAUAGAUCAAGCUGAAGGACGCCCAAGCGAUCAAUAGAUCAACUACCAUCUGCCUACUUGCUUAUUUGUUGGAACAAAAUCUCUUCCGAUGAGACGUAUUCUAUGUGCCCCGACUAUCUAUUUACUUCUCGAUUAAGGUGUUUAUGCACUGUAACCAUUAGUUACUUUGAAGAUUGAGAGUCUUAUUUCGUCAUGCAUCAUCGAGUUCUCCAUAUUUUGCUUCCGGAAGUUGCGUCCAAGAAUAAGAUGCCCAUGCCGCUACAAUUUUUUGGUAUGUAUUAUUCCAUCCAAUACCUUUGAACGUGUACCUAUUCAAGUGAAUUUUGUUUUAUCUCCCAAUGGACUCAUGGUACGUAUAUUAGUUGGCAAAACUGACCAGUACAAAUAGAGAACUAAACCAGCGGACAUAUAAUAUUUAAGACUGACAGUGAUGCUACCUUGAAAGCUUCUACUCUUUGCUUAGUUAUAUGCAAAGAAAGAAGUAUAAAUCUUUAUCUAUACAUGGAAACUUGGAGAUACAUAAACUGUACUCUUGGCACCAAAAUUUCUUAUUUAUGCAGGAGAAGAAAAAGAUUUCGUCCACUCAUGUACGGUUCCUGUCAUCUCCACUCUUUCCAUUGCAGAUGAAAUUUUAAUCUUUCUACAUGGUCAAAGGAAUUAUCUGAAAGUUUCCGAUCCCAUAUUGGUAUCCCAUGUACCGAUAACUGGUGGAUUCUCUUUAGUUAUUGUUUCAUCUGUUAUUUGGACCAGAUUUUUGUCUCAAGUGUAACCCAAACAUAUGGAGGGAUAAUAAGCUUUGCUAUUUGCAUUUUUUUAUUUGUAUUAAGU